Molecule: ribosomal RNA, 490 nt
Filed under: uncultured bacterium
Lineage: Bacteria
Description: partial 16S ribosomal RNA
Rfam family: Bacterial small subunit ribosomal RNA
Source: RNAcentral
AUUGAACGCUGGCGGCAGGCCUAACACAUGCAAGUCGAACGGUAACAGGAAGAAGCUUGCUUCUUUGCUGACGAGUGGCGGACGGGUGAGUAAUGUCUGGGAAACUGCCUGAUGGAGGGAGAUAACUACUGGAAACGGUAGCUAAUACCGCAUAACGUCGCAAGACCAAAGAGGGGGACCUUCGGGCCUCUUGCCAUCGGAUGUGCCCAGAUGGGAUUAGCUAGUAGGUGGGGUAACGGCUCACCUAGGCGACGAUCCCUAGCUGGUCUGAGAGGAUGACCAGCCACACUGGAACUGAGACACGGUCCAGACUCCUACGGGGGGCAGCAGUGGGGAAUAUUGCACAAUGGGCGCAAGCCUGAUGCAGCCAUGCCGCGUGUAUGAAGAAGGCCUUCGGGUUGUAAAGUACUUUCAGCGGGGAGGAAGGGAGUAAAGUUAAUACCUUUGCUCAUUGACGUUACCCGCAGAAGAAGCACCGGCUAACUCCGUG